CGUAUUUAAGGAGGCGGAGGGCUUCUCUCCAGUGCCAGAGUGUUUGCCAGUUACGACUGAACCUGCCUGAAACCUGAAACCCUGAAGAGUUUCUCUGUCAUAGAUCUGCCUGCCCGCUCUCAGAAGAUUACUGGAAGGAAACUAAAAUCAGUGAUCUGCCUGCACUCUAUAAGCUCUGCCUCCGCCUAGCCCUCAGCCUGCCGACAGCCUCUGGACCCUCAAGGUUCCCUCCCUCAGCAGCUCUGCUCAACUCCAGAACAGUGAACCCACUCGUGACCAGUCCAG
This is a long non-coding RNA of Cyprinodon variegatus (sheepshead minnow), 285 nucleotides long. RefSeq lists it as uncharacterized. NCBI's taxonomy places the organism in Eukaryota, Metazoa, Chordata, Actinopteri, Cyprinodontiformes, Cyprinodontidae. The transcript is spliced from 3 exons. The record is from RefSeq and is a predicted model, not a curated record.